Molecule: ribosomal RNA, 764 nt
Filed under: uncultured Thermaceae bacterium
Lineage: Bacteria; Thermotogati; Deinococcota; Deinococci; Thermales; Thermaceae
Description: bacterial SSU rRNA
Rfam family: Bacterial small subunit ribosomal RNA
Source: RNAcentral
UACUGGGCGUAAAGGGCGUGUAGGCGGUCUUUCAAGUCCGAUGCUAAAGACUGGGGCUCAACCCCAGGGGUGCGUUGGAUACUGUGAGGCUAGACGGUCGGAGGGGGUAGCGGAAUUUCCGGAGUAGCGGUGAAAUGCGCAGAUACCGGAAGGAACGCCAAUAGCGAAGGCAGCUACCUGGACGACUUGUGACGCUGAGGCGCGAAAGCGUGGGGAGCAAACCGGAUUAGAUACCCGGGUAGUCCACGCCCUAAACCAUGAGUGCUGGGUGUCCGGCUUCUGCUGGGUGCCGUAGCUAACGCGCUAAGCACUCCGCCUGGGAAGUACGCACGCAAGUGUGAAACUCAAAGGAAUUGACGGGGGCCCGCACAAGCGGUGGAGCAUGUGGUUUAAUUCGAAGCGACGCGAAGAACCUUACCAGGCCUUGACAUGCCCGGAACCCCUCUGAAAGGAGGGGGUGCCCGCAAGGGAGCCGGGACACAGGUGCUGCAUGGCCGUCGUCAGCUCGUGUCGUGAGAUGUUGGGUUAAGUCCCGCAACGAGCGCAACCCCUAUCCCUAGUUGCCAGCAGUUCGGCUGGGCACUCUAUGGAGACUGCCUGCGAAAGCAGGAGGAAGGCGGGGAUGACGUCUGGUCCGCAUGGCCCUUACGGCCUGGGCGACACACGUGCUACAAUGCCAAGGACAGAGCGCUGCUACCUCGCGAGAGGACGCCAAUCGCAAAAACCUUGGCUCAGUUCGGAUUGGAGUCUGCAACUCGACUCCA